CUCCACGAUUUUUGAGCUCGCGAUAUUCUUGGCAUAAGGCACAAGCUUCACAGAAACAGUGAAGCAAGCAAUCCCCACAAGGGCUUUCUUUCAACAAGUAUUGUUGUCUCAUCUUGGAACGAUAGAAACAAGAGUAAAAACAUGGGCAACCAGUCACACAUAUUAUUAUUGCGUAUAAUGCUCCACUUACUCCACAAGCUGCAAUAUGAAGCCAAAACAAAUAUUACUAUAAUUAAUAUAGGGAAGACAGAAGGUUAAUAAAUUCACGAUUUUAAGGUAGUACUAAGGUAGUUUAAUUGGGUUAUUUUUUAUUAGAUUAAAAAUAAAAAAUAAAAAAUAAACAAUACAAAAUAAGAAAAUACUGUCGAAAAAUUAUAUUUUUCGGUAACUAUGAUUUUUGUGUUAGUUACUGAAAGUUUUAUGAUUUUACAUGAAAAAAAGUCAUAGUUAUAUGAUCAUUUGUAAAAUUUAUCCAGCAGUAUAAAUGUAAUAUAGAAGUAGUAUCUGCUUAGAAAAUUUCAAUUACAUGUAGAGUUCGAAGUGAAAGCAGUAAUUGCGGUCACAAUGAUUUAUAGAAUCUCAAGAUUCACGAUUUUAAAUCUUUUCUUAAUUACAAAGUAUUAUUAUUUUAGCAUAAAUUCUUACUGAAAAUGGUGCGAAUUAAUGGUUUGCUCAGGUUAGUUUCUUGCAAGUUCAAGUCAGUUGAAUUUAGUAUUUUGUACUCCUUCCGUUUUCUUUUAUUAGUCCUGUAUUGACUUUACACUCUCUUAAGAAAUUAUUUACAUUAAAAAUUUAUUUACUAAAUUACCGUUAGUAAUGGUAAGUACAAUAUUUUCAAUAAAUCAAUGAUUGAGAAGUGGGUAAGAUUAGAAAAAGAAAAAGAAAAAGAAAAAGAAAAACCAAUUCAAGAAUUGGUCAACAGCCACACUCAUUCUUCGUACUUUCUAUUUUAUCUUUUAAAUUGAACCUCAGUAUUCAAACAAAUAAACAUUAAAAUAAAAAGAUAAAUGAAAUACUUACAAUUUGAACCUUUGUCUAUGAUCUCAGCUAUCUGUCCAAAAGUGAUGCAUGGACACCAGAAUGUUAUGCAACCUGAUCAAACAAACAAUUGAGAAAAAAGUAAACAAACAGAAAAAAAUUUCAUAUUUUUUUGGUUAAUUUGACUAAUCUUUAAAGCUAAAUUAGAUUAAAUCAAUUAGAUAUUUAAAAACUAUAAUAUGAAAAAAAGUUUGUCUCUGGAGAAGCGAAAAAAUGUCAUAAAUUGAGAUAAUAAAGGAAGAAACAAACACGAAAAAUGUAAUGAAGAUUAUCUAUCAUAUGAACUUACAAUUCUUGGGGUCGGACAUACAGUCACAUAAACCAGUUGACCAUGGAACAUGAUUCUUCUUUUUCCGAUACAUGGCCGGCGGCGGAUCGAUUGACUCCACAUACAACUGGCCUUUAGAGCUCACCGGAACACCGGUCUGCAACGGCGGCGGCGUU
This 1482-nucleotide long non-coding RNA is filed under the name Nicotiana tabacum (common tobacco). RNAcentral describes it as "long non-coding RNA (NTAB_LNC017366)". Lineage: Eukaryota; Viridiplantae; Streptophyta; Magnoliopsida; Solanales; Solanaceae. The record is from RNAcentral.